AAGUCGUAACAAGGUUUCCGUAGGUGAACCUGCGGAAGGAUCAUUAUCGUAGGGCUUUUGUCCUGUCGAGAUAGCGUCCUUGCCUAUUUUUUGGAGCACCGUUCGUUUCCUCAGCAGGCUUGCCUGCUACUGGGGACCCCUCAAACUCUUUGUAAAUACAGUAAUCGUCUGAAAAACAAACAAAAAAUCAAAACUUUCAACAAUGGAUCUCUUGGUUCUG
RNAcentral lists this unclassified non-coding RNA (220 nucleotides) under Angustimassarina acerina. RNAcentral describes it as "partial internal transcribed spacer region". The stretch from base 1 to 46 matches the Rfam family "Eukaryotic small subunit ribosomal RNA", at positions 1786 to 1831 of the family's 1831-position model. The record is from RNAcentral. RNAcentral also lists the same sequence under 1 other name. Lineage: Eukaryota; Fungi; Ascomycota; Dothideomycetes; Pleosporales; Amorosiaceae.